This 24-nucleotide non-coding RNA is filed under the name Arabidopsis thaliana (thale cress). The record is from RNAcentral. Lineage: Eukaryota; Viridiplantae; Streptophyta; Magnoliopsida; Brassicales; Brassicaceae.
UGUAAGUCUCAGCUUGUCCUUGCU